RNAcentral lists this unclassified non-coding RNA (253 nucleotides) under uncultured Parcubacteria group bacterium. RNAcentral describes it as "contains 16S-23S intergenic spacer region". It matches the Rfam family "Bacterial small subunit ribosomal RNA", at positions 524 to 776 of the family's 1533-position model. The record is from RNAcentral.
UACGAGUACCCCGAGCGUUAUCCGGAAUUAUUGGGCGUAAAGAGUUUGUAGGCGGCAAUGUUAGUCUUUUGUUAAAUCUCCCGGCUCAACUGGGAAGCAGCAAAAGAAACGGCAUUGCUCGAGAGUAUGAGAGGUGAACAGAACUCACGGUGUAGGGGUGAAAUCCGUUGAUAUCGUGGGGAAUACCAAAUGCGAAGGCAGUUCACUGGCAUAUUUCUGACGCUGAGAAACGAAAGCGUGGGUAGCGAAGGGG